Molecule: long non-coding RNA, 1230 nt
Filed under: Monodelphis domestica (gray short-tailed opossum)
Lineage: Eukaryota; Metazoa; Chordata; Mammalia; Didelphimorphia; Didelphidae
Description: lncRNA (ENSMODG00000030329.2)
Source: RNAcentral
UUUUCAGUGUGUAAACACGGGUCCACAAAUGCCAGGUUAUCCAUUAUUAGGUAGGUCUUCCAGUCCAGGAUUAUGGAACACUAAAUUUUAGAUUGCCCCCUAUAAAAGCUCAUUUCCUCUUUUUUUUUAUUUAAACCAUCUCAAGCCAAGCUGCCCCCCACUCCUCCACCAACAACCCGCGGCCAGCAUCCCCGGGGAAAGGCUGUUGACCACGGCCCAAGGUUAAGACAAGCUGAACAAAGCAGCCAAUCAGCGGAGGAGGGCUCCGGGGUGCUGAUGCUCGGAGACAAAUAGUACGGUGCCGAGCGGAUCGAUGACUACUUGAUUGCGCAUGAAUACAACAUACAUGUUGCCAAUGCUUUGCCAGCGCUCCCAGCGGGCGCCCAUGCAGAUCAGAGAGCGUAGGAAGAACUGAUAAGGGAUCCCCCGUGUGCAAACCUACGCUCUCUCCUCCCCAGCCGGAAAGCAUCCUACAGGAGGACCAGGACCGCAGCAUCCCUGUGCUGGAAUGUUCUCAUUCAAAGAUUAAGAAAUCACCAUCUAUGCGAUCUCUAGGACAAAAGAGAGCAUGAGGCAGGGAAGAGUGUUUCUCAGAACAUCUCAUCUAAGGAGGAAACUUUUUGUUCAUCACCACUUAUAAAGGUAUGCAAAGAUCACUGAAUAGUCAAGUGUUAGUAAACUUCUGUUAAACCGCUCUGUAGAGAUGUUCUGCUAUCUCUGUGUGGAGUAGAGGGGAGUGGAGUGGAUACCCAAACUGAUGAAAACAUGGAAUCUUGCUAUAUUGAAGUAAAUAUAGUUCUAACACAUGUGUCUUAAUCUAUGGAACCAUGAUUUCAUUCUUAUAAAUAUUCCUUUUACUACUACAGAUCUUAAUUGAAUCAUACCUUCUUCUCUUGUGUGAUUUUUGUGUAAUUUGGGCAUGGCCACCAACCUUCAACUCUUCCCUUGAUCUGGGAUGAGGCUGGCUCACUCAAUACAACUAUAUUCAAUCUCAACAGGUUGGGAUAGUUCCCAAAAAAGGCAGCCCUUUUGCUACAACUCACUCUCAGGGUCCUAAGAAUAAUUGAUAUAGGGAAGCCAUACAUUUGUUAUUCAGAGAUUUAGCUCCUAAGUCCCCAGUAGUUGCUUCCAAUUUAAACAAAUCAGCCAAGAUUAUAUCAUUAAUUAUUAAUUAGUCUGACAUGAUCUCGAGGUCCAGCCCUAUCCACAGCUUCAGGGGUCCUUGACUAG